CUGACAGUGGAUGCCAGCUCUGAGCUGGGUCUGAUCCCCUUGCUCAGGGGUUUCAUCUGGUAGGGGCUUUGCUCUCUGAUGCCAUCAGACUAUCCACAGGAAUCUGGGGCUCCUUCCAUUUGUACCAGCACAAAUAAGAUUUCUUGAGCAUCUCGCAGAAGUUACAAGCCAUCUUUCAGGUCCAUACACCGACAGAUCACAGACAUCAACAGAAGCACAAUUGUGGAGGUGGAAUGUAAUUUGCAGGCAUCGUCUUCAUGGAUACUCAGAGCUGUCCCAUAAGGUCAUAAUACAGCAAGUGCUGUCCUGCUCAUGAA
This is a long non-coding RNA of Coturnix japonica (Japanese quail), 317 nucleotides long. RefSeq lists it as uncharacterized. NCBI's taxonomy places the organism in Eukaryota, Metazoa, Chordata, Aves, Galliformes, Phasianidae. The record is from RefSeq and is a predicted model, not a curated record.